Molecule: non-coding RNA, 30 nt
Filed under: Homo sapiens (human)
Lineage: Eukaryota; Metazoa; Chordata; Mammalia; Primates; Hominidae
Source: RNAcentral
UCCAGGUGAAGUCCCUCCUGGGACAGUGAC